GCCGCCGUAGCUCAAUGGGUAGAGCAGCGGGCUUUUAACCCGAGCGUUGCAGGUUCGCGUCCUGCCGGCGGCA
Molecule: transfer RNA, 73 nt
Filed under: Bacillota bacterium
Lineage: Bacteria; Bacillati; Bacillota
Description: Firmicutes bacterium tRNA-Lys
Rfam family: tRNA
About the family: Transfer RNA (tRNA) molecules are approximately 80 nucleotides in length. Their secondary structure includes four short double-helical elements and three loops (D, anti-codon, and T loops). Further hydrogen bonds mediate the characteristic L-shaped molecular structure. tRNAs have two regions of fundamental functional importance: the anti-codon, which is responsible for specific mRNA codon recognition, and the 3' end, to which the tRNAs corresponding amino acid is attached (by aminoacyl-tRNA synthetases). tRNAs cope with the degeneracy of the genetic code in two manners: having more than one tRNA (with a specific anti-codon) for a particular amino acid; and 'wobble' base-pairing, i.e. permitting non-standard base-pairing at the 3rd anti-codon position.
Source: RNAcentral